Lagopus muta (rock ptarmigan) is the source of this 730-nucleotide long non-coding RNA. RefSeq lists it as uncharacterized. The transcript is spliced from 3 exons. The record is from RefSeq and is a predicted model, not a curated record. NCBI's taxonomy places the organism in Eukaryota, Metazoa, Chordata, Aves, Galliformes, Phasianidae.
GGCAGCAGAGCUGCCCAACACUUCUGUCCUCCCUACGCCCACCGUGGCAGAGCUGCCCAGCAAGGACUGCUAUUGCUCAGCCCAUGACCACCAAGAUGCUUUUGAGCACACAGCCUCUGCAGCAUUUUCUCAGCCUGCUGCAUGCCCUGCAUAGCAGAAAUGUUCUUUUUCCAGGCUGUUGCUGGGCAGGCUUUAGGUAAGAGGCUGUGAUGGGUGCUGUCAGAAGGGAGCUGUGACAGGUACCUUCAGUGCAGCUCAAUACAGCUGCAGGGCUGUGAGGAGGGCCAGCCCAGCUCCUGCCCAGCUGGGCAUUAUCAGUGCUGGGAAAGCAGCUGAGCUAUAAAAGAGCAGUGAGGAAGGGGGGGGUUGCUUUUGGAGAUGGAAAGCUGCGGUCUCUCCAUCUUUUGUCUUCCACUCCACUUCCCAGGAGAGAAGCAAAAGCUAUGGUAGCCUCCAGGAUUGUCUUCAUAAGCACUGCUCCGACUUCGGCCUCCUGCACGCGGGGGCUGCUGAGGGCAUCCUGGGCCAACUGGAGCAGUGCUGGAGUGAGGGUCUCAGGGAAUGGUGCAGGGAAGUAGCGGAUGAGCAACUCUGAGGCCAUGUCCCUGAUCUGCCAGAGGAGGAGAGGGCUCCAGGUGUCUGUACAGGUCUCCAGAAUGGCCGUCAGCAGGAGCAGAGCCGUCUUCUUCCUCUGGUAGUUGGCCCAGGGGGUGAGCGAGGAGAUGCAAAG